UGGGGAAUAUUGGACAAUGGGCGCAAGCCUGAUCCAGCAAUGCCGCGUGAGUGAUGAAGGCCUUAGGGUUGUAAAGCUCUUUCGCACGCGACGAUGAUGACGGUAGCGUGAGAAGAAGCCCCGGCUAACUUCGUGCCAGCAGCCGCGGUAAUACGAAGGGGGCUAGCGUUGUUCGGAAUUACUGGGCGUAAAGGGCGCGUAGGCGGCCUGUUUAGUCAGAAGUGAAAGCCCCGGGCUCAACCUGGGAAUAGCUUUUGAUACUGGCAGGCUUGAGUUCCGGAGAGGAUGGUGGAAUUCCCAGUGUAGAGGUGAAAUUCGUAGAUAUUGGGAAGAACACCGGUGGCGAAGGCGGCCAUCUGGACGGACACUGACGCUGAGGCGCGAAAGCGUGGGGAGCAAACAGAUUAGAUACCCUGGUAGUCCACGCCGUAAACGAUGAAUGCUAGACGUCGGGGUGCAUNCACUUCGGUGUCGCCGCUAACGCAUUAAGCAUUCCGCCUGGGGAGUACGGCCGCAAGGUUAAAACUUAAAGGAAUUGACGGGGUCAUAGCUGUUUCCU
Molecule: ribosomal RNA, 559 nt
Filed under: uncultured bacterium
Lineage: Bacteria
Description: partial 16S ribosomal RNA
Rfam family: Bacterial small subunit ribosomal RNA
Source: RNAcentral